UACGUAGGGGGCAAGCGUUGUCCGGAAUCAUUGGGCGUAAAGCGCGCGCAGGUGGUUUCUUAAGUCUGAUGUGAAAGCCCACGGCUCAACCGUGGAGGGUCAUUGGAAACUGGGGAACUUGAGUGCAGGAGAGAAGAGUGGAAUUCCACGUGUAGCGGUGAAAUGCGUAGAGAUGUGGAGGAACACCAGUGGCGAAGGCGACGCUUUGGCCUGUAACUGACGCUGAGGCGCGAAAGCGUGGGGAGCAAACAGG
Molecule: ribosomal RNA, 253 nt
Filed under: uncultured bacterium
Lineage: Bacteria
Description: partial 16S ribosomal RNA
Rfam family: Bacterial small subunit ribosomal RNA
Source: RNAcentral